Ictidomys tridecemlineatus (thirteen-lined ground squirrel) is the source of this 4700-nucleotide non-coding RNA. The record is from RefSeq and is a predicted model, not a curated record. Lineage: Eukaryota; Metazoa; Chordata; Mammalia; Rodentia; Sciuridae.
GCAGCCGCGGCAGCUGGAGUCGGAGGGGGGGGACGAUUUCAAAAAAUAAUUAAAAAUCGAGGAAAUAUCCUAGAAAAGCCCUUUUGGCGUGAAAACCCCAAAGAGGAUCCAGGCUUCCCAAAACGGAGGUUUUGGGUGACGGGAAGGUCUGUAUCUCGACCCCUGGGGCUUUGGAUCCCGAGGGGAAACUUGAAGGAGUGAAGCCGCGCGGGAGUGUCCGGCUGCGGCCCACAAGGGCAGAGACUAGGAACGUGGUGCCCAGUUGGAGGAAAGACGGGAACAGGGAGCCCCGGAAAGAGAAAGUGGGGGGCUCUGACCUCUUAUUUAGGGGUGCCCCGAAAUUCCCCCUACACACACCUCCUCCCUCCCCCCAUCCUACCCCACCCAAAUCUCCGCACUGAAGAAGCUGGAAAACCAAACUAUGGGAAUCCUACUCUGUUGCCCAGGCUGGUUUCAAACUAUUGGACUCAAGCAACCUUCCUGCCUCAGCCUCCAGAAUAGCUGGGAUGACAGUCAUGCACCACAGUGCCCAACUCCAAAUCUUUUGAGAAGUGUUUGGAACUGAGAGACUUCAGGGAGAAAACACAUUUCAUAAAAGUGAUGCAACCAAAACACUUUAUUAACUACUCUUCUUUCUUCUGUCUUCUAUUUAUAAGAGAAGUUGCAAUAAAACAGGCUCCUACAAAGACCACUAUUGAACAUGCAUCUUUUAGAAGGUUCUGAGGCAUCAGUGUAGACUCAAUUUCACCUCUACCCUUCUGUCUACAUCUCCAAUCCCAGAUGGUGAGAGUCCAUGCCUGUGGUAACUUCUGGUCAGAACCCAGAAGUUUGAAUUCCUUGCUCUGUGCUGGCUAAGAUGGGAAAAUAGACUCUUCUUUUGAGAGAAAUAACCUGAUUUUGAAAGAAACAUAAAGGAUUCUUUUUUUUUUCUCAAGUUAAUAUUCAGUUCAUAAAAAUGGAAUUUAGAAUAAAUUCUCCAAGCUUUGAAUGUUUGAAUCAAUUUAACUUUGACUAUAAAAACCCAUCUGAAACUACAAAUUAAUUGGGGAAGAAGGGACACACUUCAUUAAGGAUUUUUUUACUUAGCUGGAGUCUCUGUUGUGGUGCUUCUUAAAUCAGAGAAUAUUUCUGGUACUUUAAAACCAUUUCAUUAUGUGAAAGAGAACAUUCUGGCUGGGCAUGGUGGGGCACACCUCUAAUCUCAGUUGCUUGGGAGGCCGAGGCAGGAGGAUCACAAGUUAAAAGCCAGCUCAACAACUUAGUGAGACCCCAUCUCAAAAGAAAAGAAUUCAAAGGGAUGGUGGUGUUGCUCAGUGGUUAAGCACUCCUGGAUUAACUUCUCAGUACAAAAAAAGAAGGAAAAAAAGAAAGAAAGAGAGAACAUUCAGUUCGUGAAGUCUGGCACCAUAUACCUGGCCACUUGAGACCCCUGGAACUGACAUCAUGCUAGUUCUGGGAGGGACUUUGAGUCUCCACUCUUCACUUUAGAAAGGAAGAAACUGUGGUCUGGAGAAAUUUCCUGACUUUUCACAUUGCAAAGUCCAGUGUCCAGUUUUCUCCCAUUACCGUGCCUCAUGUGGUAUCCAAGAUCCGGGACUCCUAGUUGGAACUCCACCUGGUCCUCAGCUGCCGUCAAGGAUGCUUAGUCAGUGAUCCCGUUUUUUGGAUUUCAUUUGUGCUGUUUCUUUGUUUUAUUAUGGAAAACUUUCAAACAUUGAAGUAGAGAAUAUAAUCUAGCUCACUCCCAUGCACCCCUCACCUGGCUUCUACAAUGAUUAACUACAGCCAAUACCCAACCCUGUUUCCCCUCCAGCCAGAUGAUUUUAAAGCAAAUCCAAACCUCCUAUCAUUGCAUCAGUGACUACUCCAUGUGUAACUUCUUCCUAUCGACCUGACAUGGGAAAGCUGGGCAGAAGAUGGUCCCUCUGCUGGUAUCAAAGCCCUGGGCUGGCUUUCCCAUCGGCUGUCUGUGCUGGUUCGAGGCCCCUCUGGGGAGGUUCAGGGGGUCCGGUUGGCAAAGAGAGACGAAGGCUGGGCUUUUUGAUGCUGAGGUCCUAUCUUUUCUCUAAGGACCUGUAGCUACCCCUGAUGAAGUGCUACCUGUUUGCAGGGUGUCCUUCCAGCUGGGCCAUCGCCAACCUGCUUAGGAGAGCCUCGGUCCCGCAGCACGUGCUCAGGGGCGUGCAGGGGAGCCUGUCCUGAGAGCUUCCCAGGAGGGAACAGGUAUACAAGUGGAAGAGAGUGAACCUGGGCUGUGCCCCCAAGGGCGACAAGAAUCCUUACUGCCUGCUGUGGAGACACCCUUCCGCAGGGGAGGUAUUUUAGACAUUCAUUUGACAAGUCAUUCAUCUGUGCUAGAGAUGGUUUACCAAGAAUACUAACUUUGUAUGUUUUAUUUCCACCUGGAAUAGAGUUGAAGUUUCGUAUGGUAAAUUCGGAACCAAUCUUUACAAGGAUACUGAAGAGGAUUCCAACAAGGGAAGAUCGGCAUGCCCAUCAUGUCUUCUAGGCUGUCGCUACUGCCUGUCCCUUUUCCCCAGCAGCAGGAGAAAGCAGAGCCAUGGGAUUUGGGGAGCAGGGAGAGGAGAGAAAGUCGCUUCACAGCGCUGGCUUAACUGGCUUCCUCUCCUCUUCUGGAACCACGGAGCUGCCUGUGAAUCUGUAACUCAGUCCUCCUGCCUGGUUGGGAACCUGGGUGACCUUAGCCAGUUUCUCCCAGCCUGGCUUCUAAGCAGUCCUUUCCUCUGGGGUUUAGAUGCUUCUAUGGGCAGAUGAGAUUAUGCCUAGGAUUUCCUGCUCAAUCUCAUGGUUCCCGAGUUUGAAUUUAACCUCUUAGCACAUUAUGGUCUCAUCUACCUUAAGGGAAAGAUGGUCUCACCGGGAGCAGCACCAGUUGCUCUUCCAACACAGGCAAAAUGCCACCAACCACACUCUUCCAUUCCUCCAUGUGGGAUACGCCAGGAGUGUCUUGGGGAAAACAAAGAAGACAGAGAAAACAAAGAGAUGGAGAAAACAACGAAGAUGAGACCCAGAGGUUCUUGGGGGCCACAGACAGGUGUAUGUAAAACUAUGAUACCAAGAGGAAACGUAGCCCAGGUGAGAAACAGCCCUGCAGCUGCAAGUGCCCUCACUAGCUCCAUGUUCUAAUGAGCUUAGUUGAACCACCAGAGGAGAAGAUGAGCAUAGUUAUUCUCGGGGUGGAGAUUACAAGCUGACCAACAGAACCAAAAAGUAGCUGGAACUUCUGCUGGGCCACCUGAGGUCCGGAAGCAAUUCCAUAUAGCAAAGAGCAUGCUCAGACCCAACACUCAGGAUACCCAGACCCCAGUUGGGUCUGCUGUGAAUAAGGUAAGUAAAGGCUGGAGGGACAGUUCAUUCAAUAGAUUUAUUGAGCACCUGUUAAUAGACGUGGAGAUGGUUAUUUCCAUGAUAAGGAUACAUAUGUUCCUUCCUCCCAGGUCUGUGACUUCCUUAUUCUAUGCCUAUGUUUCUACAAAUCAGACUUAAAUGAUAAUCAGAAUGCAAGGCACCAGGCACAACUCCCUGGGCUAAUUUCUCCUCAGAUGAGAAAAACUGCAGAUGGCUCUAGAACCCCUGCUUCUUCCUGAACACCUUCAACCCACAGGCAUCUUGCCUGCAUAGCUACAUAGAACCUCAUGCUCACUCUGGGUUGGAAAUCAGGGUUUGAACAGAAGCUGGCGGCAAGGGAUGGGUCCUGUAGGCAUGGGUGCACUCGGGAGCACAGAUGCCAGAAAAGACCUCGAUUCUCCUGAGAACGCUCAUCUCCUGGCCUGUCCUGGAAAGCAGAGUCUUGUUCUACGUGUUCUCUGAAACGCGGCUGCCCUCCAGAUACCCGGGCUCCCAAGGGUGGAGGAAAACCCCACCGCCCUGAAGAGGGCUCACGCGGAGCACACAGGGCCCUGGGCUCCGAGGCAUACAGACAGGCUCUGCAACAAGGAAAGCCCCCAGGACUCAGGGCAGACACCCACCACCCUGCCUCUUGGCCUGGCUCUGUGCUUUUUCCCAGCCCACAUUCCUAAUGCAAACCAGAUGCCACCUCACCCCCACCCCCACCUCGCCCUUCCCCUUCCACUCCUGGAGUCUGCGCAUGGGCUCGACUCCACCUUGGAAAUGCCAGGCCUUCUCUCCAUCAGCCUUGGCCUCUUCCAGCAACAGCUCUCUACGGGGGCACCGCCUCCAAGAGGCUUUCUGAACUUCUUUGUGACACCCAGCACACCAUUUCCCAGCACCUACUCAGUCCUCGAGCUCUUGGGCUCUAACAUGGAAAGCUCAGCUCCCUUCAUCUGGUGUCCCCUCUUGGUGCCUUUUUCCUGUGUUGCAUGACCAGUGAGAAGACUGUCAGGCAUGGUCACAAGGGGCCUGAGCAUCAAAGGCAAGGGUAUCCUCCAUGGGGUGCAUGGGGUGGGUGCCCAUGCCAGAAGGGUCAAGCAAGAUGCACUGGGUUGGGAAGAAAACAGUAAAUUUCUAUUGAUUUUAAAAAUUAACACCGUAAGGCAGGAGUUUUAGUUAAUAAUCGUGUAUCAAAAUUGGUUCGCUAAUAGUGACAAAUGUAUCAUGGCAAUGUACUAUAUUAAUAAUAAAAAUGGGGUCUGGGGAACACGGGACCUGCUGUACUAUUCUUGAAACAUCUCUGUAGAUGUAAGCUUAUUCUAAAGUAAAAACUUAAUUGAAAAAUCGUC